This 346-nucleotide unclassified non-coding RNA is filed under the name soil metagenome. Its description in RNAcentral is "partial contains 5.8S ribosomal RNA, internal transcribed spacer 2, and large subunit ribosomal RNA". The stretch from base 1 to 120 matches the Rfam family "5.8S ribosomal RNA", at positions 35 to 154 of the family's 154-position model. The record is from RNAcentral.
GAUGAAGAACGCAGCAAAAUGCGAUAAGUAAUGUGAAUUGCAGAAUUCAGUGAAUCAUCGAAUCUUUGAACGCACAUUGCGCCCGCCAGUAUUCUGGCGGGCAUGCCUGUUCGAGCGUCAUUUCAACCCUCAAGCCCUCGGGUUUGGUGUUGGGGAUCGGCGAGCCUUUCUGGCAAGCCGGCCCCGAAAUCUAGUGGCGGUCUCGCUGCAGCCUCCAUUGCGUAGUAGUAAAACCCUCGCAACUGGAACGCGGCGCGGCCAAGCCGUUAAACCCCCAACUUCUGAAUGUUGACCUCGGAUCAGGUAGGAAUACUCGCUGAACUUAAGCAUAUCAAUAAGCGGAGGA